UACGUAGGGUGCGAGCGUUACUCGGAAUUACUGGGCGUAAAGCGUGCGCAGGCGGUUCGUUGUGUCGGCGGUGAAAGCCCCGGGCUCAACCUGGGAAUGGCCGUUGAAACUGGCGAACUGGAGUGUGGCAGAGGGGGGUGGAAUUCCGCGUGGAGCAGUGAAAUGCGUAGAGAUGCGGAGGAACACCGAUGGCGAAGGCAGCCCCCUGGGCUGACACUGACGCUCAGGCACGAAAGCGUGGGGAGCAAACAGG
Molecule: ribosomal RNA, 253 nt
Filed under: uncultured bacterium
Lineage: Bacteria
Description: partial 16S ribosomal RNA
Rfam family: Bacterial small subunit ribosomal RNA
Source: RNAcentral